GACGAACGCUGGCGGCGUGCUUAACACAUGCACUUCGAACGAAGUGGCGAACGGGUGAGUAACGCGUAAUCAACCUGCCCUUCAGAGGGGGACAACAGUUGGAAACGACUGCUAAUACCGCAUACUCAAGGAGGGGAUUUCGUCUGAUUGGAUAGUUGGAGUGGUAACGUCCCACCAAGGCGAUGAUACGUAGCAGGUCUGAUAGAAGGAACGGCCAAAUUGGGACUGAGACACGGCCCAGACUCCUACGGGAGGCAGCAGGGGGGAAUCUUCCGCAAUGGACGAAAGUCUGACGGAGCAACGCCGCGUGAGUGAUGACGGCCUUCGGGUUGUAAAGCUCUGUUAAUCGGGACGCGGGACCGGAAUAGAAAGCCACGGCUAACUACGUGCCAGCCGCCGCGGUAAUUC
Molecule: ribosomal RNA, 408 nt
Filed under: uncultured bacterium
Lineage: Bacteria
Description: partial 16S ribosomal RNA
Rfam family: Bacterial small subunit ribosomal RNA
Source: RNAcentral